Long non-coding RNA from Lates calcarifer (barramundi perch), 2452 nucleotides. RefSeq lists it as uncharacterized. Lineage: Eukaryota; Metazoa; Chordata; Actinopteri; Centropomidae. The transcript has 8 exons. The record is from RefSeq and is a predicted model, not a curated record.
UGUGUGCGAGUGGGCGUGGCCCGAUUUGUGUUGCUGUGAAAAUGUCGAUAGCAAAGGUUUUUCAUUAGGGUAGGGGACCACUCUGGAUUUGAUUAUAUCCAGGAGGUUGAUGGGAGGUUUCGGCAGCGGUGACGGAGUAGAGAGAGUGAAGGACCGGAGGUGUUGCGAAAGAGGCUCUGCCGGUAAGUCACCCCGCCCUUCCAAGAGAAACUAUUUAUUUACAUCUAGUUUCUGCUCCGGUGAAUCACAUACCAUCAUCUGUAUGGAUUUAGGUUACAUUACGUCUAUGGUGGGCGAUUUGUGGCUCAUUUUCUUCGGAGCCAGUCAGAGGGCAGGAUAGCAGGGUGGGAUGGAGAGGUGUGCUGGAUGCGUGAUGCAGGAGGAUGUUGCGCACUUCAUUUUACCUCAAGAUUGAGUGGUCUGUCCAUCCAUGCGGUACUGCGUAGUGAUUUAAUUUAUGAGAAGGACUGGUACAUCAUCUGUUGUGCUUUAGGAAAGAAUGGCCCAACAUCUCUUGACAUCAAACCCCCAAACUGACUGCAGUUGUUUUGAUGACUGUUUGAGAAAAGCACGAGGGAAAUUAGGUAUUGCUUUCAACUUUCUGUGAAAGCACACGAUGCUGGAACACGAGCUGGUGGCGCCAGAGAGAACCUGUUUGCAUUCUUCAGAGCAAAGCAGCCCUGUCGUCCAAUUUACAUUAGAAAUGAAAAAUCAUCUGAUCGAGUGGCUGGAGAGCAACGCGCUAUCAUCCUCACUAUUCUACCAAGCAACAGAGAGGAGAGGACUCGUCCAGGUCUGUCUGCAUAUAGCUGCAGAUUCAAGGGUGCUACAUGCCACAGAAGGAACCCUUUUGGCAGAAGUGCCCCCCUUGGAAGCUGGUUUCAGAUGGUGGCUUAGAGUAUUGUCACCUAUCUAGCACCAUUUGAAAUCAGUGUUCUUGGGGUGGGAGGUGUAUCUCACUGACCAGCAACAAGCAGUCGUGUGUCUAAAGAGGUGUUCAGUGAUACAGGUAAAAUAAUGAGUCAACUUCACCUGAAAGGUAUCACUCCCUGAAGUGCCACUCAGUGGGCUACAAACCACCAGUCCACAGUGAUGUUUUAACAGCUCAAGCUCUUUGUCCUCUCUCCAAGGUUGACCGAUUUCUUUUGGUGUUCAGAGUCUGCUUUUGUUUCUAGCACCAUUUGAAAUCGGUUACAGUGAAGGACAGAUCUCGUCUUACCUUGAGGAGGAUUUUGCAACUAAGCUGUGCUCUUUAUUUUACUGAUUGUGCAAUGACUACAGUGAGGUUUUGUCAUGUCACUGUUUGAAAUCAUGCAAAAAUUACUCUCACAUUGGUCACUAACACCUUUGGGAAUUAGUUCAACAAUUCAGGAUCUCUCAUUGAUUGAUUUUUGCAGGGGAGGAAGAAAUAUUCUGAUCCUUUACUUGAGUAAAAGUAACAAUACUACAGUGUAAAAAAAUACAAAAUAAAUACUCUAUACAUAAUCAGUAAAAGUCCUCUAUUUUACAGUAAAAGUAUACAGUAUAGCAAAAUGCAUUGUUUUGCAUGUAAUAUCUACAUAGUAAUGCAACAGUAUUACUAAGGUAGUUAAAUAAAAAGCACAAUAUUUGCAUCUGAAACAUAGUGAUAUAAGUAUAGAGAGGCAUAGAAUGAAAAUAAUUCAGUACAAGUACUGAGUCAUCAAAGUUGCUGAUAGGUACUCUAUGUUAGUAAUUGUAGUUGUGCCUUAUUAGUUAGUCCAGUCUGUGUCAAAUCCACAAGGUGGCACUGUAAAAUAUUACAUCAGAGGAAUUUUUGAUUAGUCUUUGUCCCCACAGCAGGUACUUAAAUCAUGUUUACGGUGGCAAGUGUUAUAAAUAAUUUAAUAUUUUAAUUUUUAAAAAUUUUAAUUUGCUCAAAAUGUUGGAAAUAUCAGGGACUUACAGUAAAAAAUAAAUAAAUCACGCUCACAAGUUUAAAGUCUAUAGAUAUUAAAAAAGUGAAUAUUCUAUUGCUCUGUAUUAAAUCUAUAGUUAAGGAUGCUGAUUACAGCUGCAUAUUAUACAGUACAGUACACCUGUACGCUGUGUAUCACAUAGUUGUAACUGUUAUGUGACUAAAAGUAUAUAUCUCUAUCACAGAUCUCUUUUCUACAAAAACUAGAUAUGGAAUUACGUGUGAUACAAUAGUUUUGUUUUUUUUUUUUAAAUCUUGAAUAUUAAGAGCACAACCAUUGUCUGUUUUUCUCUGUAUUCUUAUAGGCUCUAUUCUUACUCACUGCAUUAGAACAUGCAUAGUAUAGAGAAAUAUAUGGAACAAAAGAAUAUAUGUGAAUGAACUGGCUUCAUUAACUUUUAAAACUCCAUAGCUUGAGAGCAGAUUCCUAAAUGUGGGUCAAACAAGAGUUUGUCAUCAUAAGCAAAGCUUGUGUACAAAUUGUGCAUAUGCACAUUAAAAGUAUAUUUAAAAACA